GGGGAGGUAGACCGUAACGAGUAGCGGGCCUGUCUGUAAAACAGGUGUCUUAGACCCACUAGGUGCAAGUCCUAGGCUCCCCACCA
This 86-nucleotide transfer RNA is filed under the name Minisyncoccota bacterium. Its description in RNAcentral is "tRNA-Tyr". The record is from RNAcentral. Lineage: Bacteria; Bacillati; Minisyncoccota.